UUGACAGAGAGCAAAAUAUUUCCAUUUCCCCCAGCAAACAGCUUGUCCUCACGUAACGACAGUUUUCCAUCUGCAAGAACUGCCUUUUUGAUUCCACGAACCACCUGAGGUGAAAAUUUACCUUGGACUGCUCUAUAGACUGUUUCGGCGAAGUGUCUCCAAUUGCAUGACUGCCUAAAUGACUGUUACAGUUUGAGGCCCACCCCUACUGGAUGGGAAGAUGAGUUGUGAAGUGACAUCUACACUAGGUUCAGCGUUUCUGACACCAACGACUCCGUUGUGCUUAAUGCCUUAUCAUUUCUGAAUGAUGUAUGAACUCUAUGGAGUGUGCUAACGAGAACAUUAUACAGGUGUUGAAGAUGGAAAUUAAGGAAGCUUUUUCGGACUGCUGGACCGGGAGACAGGAGGAUCAAGGAGUCUUGGUGACAAUGGGUAGUUCUUGAACAGCUGACAAAGGCUGAAGCACUCCUGCCAGAAAACACGUCUGAUGAAAUACAUUUUCCAGGAAAUGUGCAAGUAACUUUCCUGCUGUAGUGCAUCUAGGCCUGGAAACUUGAGCUGAGCAGAGGAAAAUGGACGAGAGAUGUUGACAGCUUUGCCAAAGGGACAAGACAGGAUUUCCAGUCACAUUUUAAGCUGCAUGGGCAGGGCUGUCUCCUACUCUGUGUAUCUACUGGACCUGUGAAAUGGAACUUUGAUUCCAUGUAAGGCCACAAGGUAUCAUUUUAAUACCAAGUCAA
Molecule: long non-coding RNA, 740 nt
Organism: Dromaius novaehollandiae (emu)
Lineage: Eukaryota; Metazoa; Chordata; Aves; Casuariiformes; Dromaiidae
Exons: 5
Source: RefSeq, a predicted model, not a curated record